RNAcentral lists this ribosomal RNA (169 nucleotides) under Xenisthmus polyzonatus. RNAcentral's name for it is "partial 12S rRNA". Lineage: Eukaryota; Metazoa; Chordata; Actinopteri; Gobiiformes; Xenisthmidae. The record is from RNAcentral.
CACCGCGGUUAUACGAGUAGCCCAAGUUGACAAACACCGGCGUAAAGAGUGGUUAAUAAAACCUCCCCAAUAAAGCGAAACACCCUCAAAGCUGUCAUACGCACCCGAAGGUAGGAAGACCUUUCACGAAAGUGGCUUUAAAUUUUAUGACCCCACGAAAGCUAAGGCA